RNAcentral lists this ribosomal RNA (537 nucleotides) under Stumpffia obscoena. RNAcentral describes it as "partial 16S ribosomal RNA". The stretch from base 5 to 121 matches the Rfam family "Bacterial large subunit ribosomal RNA", at positions 714 to 852 of the family's 2925-position model. Lineage: Eukaryota; Metazoa; Chordata; Amphibia; Anura; Microhylidae. The record is from RNAcentral.
ACCCCCCGAAACUAGGCGAGCUACUCUAAAACAGCCAUCAGAGCAAACCCAUUCCUGUUACAAAAGGACGGGAAGAUUUUAAAGUAGAGGUGACACACCUAUCGAGCCCAGAGAUAGCUGGUUAUUCAAAAAUGGAUCUAAGUCCAACUUUAAGUUUUUAUAGUACCCCUAAACAACUCACAAACUUAAAACCCACUCAAAUAAGGUACAGCCUAUUUGAACAAGGAAACAACCUACAAUAUAGGGUAACGUCCACCAACAUGGCUAAGUAGGCCUAAAAGCAGCCAUCUUUUAAAAAGCGUCCAAGCUUCCCCACCUAACAUCCUUAAUCUCACGAUGCAACCACAACCCUCAACUACUACUGAAUGACCCCAUAUCUAUAUGGUAGACAUUAUGCUGGAACUAGUAAUAAGAAGACGAACUUCUCUAAAAUGCAAGCGUAAGCCAGAAUGAACAUCUCACUGACACCCACCGCUUCGACCACAGUAACAUAUUUCAAGAAAAUUCUACUUCCCUAAGCGCCAGCCUUACACCAGA